Molecule: long non-coding RNA, 902 nt
Organism: Musa acuminata AAA Group (dessert banana)
Lineage: Eukaryota; Viridiplantae; Streptophyta; Magnoliopsida; Zingiberales; Musaceae
Exons: 2
Source: RefSeq, a predicted model, not a curated record
UUAAGUUUUGAUUGUUAUUAUAGCAUUGUUAUGUAUGCUCAUAUAUUGCUAAUUAGAUCUUCGAUUUAGUCAAUUAAACUUAAUUAAUUAUACUUUAACGCUCAAUUAAAGUUAUUUUUCUUGAGACAUGUGUAUUUAUUUAUCUAUUUAUUUUCGGUACCAAAUGGAGACCUAAGCAUAUCCAUUCAUACAUUUUAACUUCUACUCAAAACCCACCGCCUACCCCCCACCAUUAAUCCGUUGUUUCCUCCCUCGACGUUUCUUCCCCGUUGCCAGCGAUCGAAACCAGUGCUCGGCGUCUCCUCUCUCUCUCUCUCUCUGUCUCUCGGUGAAGGAUCUCUUCAUCUGCCCUCUUUUCUUUUUGGAGUUCGAGAUUGCUUCCGUUGAUCGACGUGGUAAACGUUUGUGGGGGGGAGGGGGUAUCGGAUGUCGAUUGCAGGGGGUGAAUUUGGUCGCGGUGGGGAUCGACGGCUGAUUCGAGUGUGAGGAAAUCGGGCAUGGGUUUCUUUCCAGGCUGAUUGGAUCGGCCUUCUUGUUUCGGUGGUUUCGGUGGGAUCUUCCCUCACUUUGAUCUUUGUUUGGGGGGCGAAUAUUUCGGAGGGAAGAUGGGGUAUUUGAACUCCAUCAGUGGGCUUCAAGCAGACGGUGCUCCGGUCAGCGGGGGAGGACUCAGUCAAGAUGGGAAGUUUGGUUAUGGGUAUGCAAGCUGUCCGGGGAAAAGAUCUUCGAUGGAAGACUUCUAUGAGACGCGAAUUGACAGCGUUGAUGGAGAAAUUGUUGGCUUGUUUGGGGUCUUUGAUGGUAAAAUUUCUGCAGUAUUUUGUUGUCUUUGUUAUGUUUAGAAUGUCUUAUCUUUUUUUUUUUUUGUAUUUGCAAAUUUUUGGUAAAACUGACAUAGAAAA